AGCGAACGCUGGCGGCGUGCCUAACACAUGCAAGUCGAACGUGAAAAGGGAAACCUGAGUAAAGUGGCGUACGGGUGAGUAACGCGUAGGUAAUCUACCCCAGAAUCUGGAAUAACCUGCCGAAAGGCGGGCUAAUACUGGAUAGAGCGAGGGAACUCGUAAGAGAGUUUUUCGGGAAAGGGAGCCCGCAAGGGCCUUCGUUCUGGGAUGAGCCUGCGUCUCAUUAGCUAGUUGGUAAGGUAACGGCUUACCAAGGCGAUGAUGAGUAGCUGGUCUGAGAGGAUGAUCAGCCACACUGGAACUGAAACACGGUCCAGACUCCUACGGGAGGCAGCAGUGGGGAAUCUUGCGAAAUGGACGAAAGUCUGACGCAGCCAAGCCGCGUGAGGGAAGAAGGCCUUCGGGUUGUAAAGCUCUGUCGGAUGGGACGAACAUCUUCAUAGUGAAUAGCUAUGAGGACUGACGGUACCAUCAAAGGAAGCACCGGCUAACUCCGUG
This 498-nucleotide ribosomal RNA is filed under the name uncultured bacterium. Its description in RNAcentral is "partial 16S ribosomal RNA". It matches the Rfam family "Bacterial small subunit ribosomal RNA", at positions 29 to 507 of the family's 1533-position model. The record is from RNAcentral.